GUAAGGAAUAUUGGACAAUGGGCGCAAGUCUGAUCCAGCCAUGCCGCGUGAAGGAUUAAGGUCCUCUGGAUUGUAAACUUCUUUUAUAAGGGACGAAAAAAGGCUUUUCUAAGUCGUCUGACGGUACCUUAUGAAUAAGCACCGGCUAACUCCGUGCCAGCAGCCGCGGUAAUACGGAGGGUGCAAGCGUUAUCCGGAUUCACUGGGUUUAAAGGGUGCGUAGGCGGGCAGGUAAGUCAGUGGUGAAAUCCUAGAGCUUAACUCUAGAACUGCCAUUGAUACUAUCUGUCUUGAAUAUUGUGGAGGUAAGCGGAAUAUGUCAUGUAGCGGUGAAAUGCUUAGAUAUGACAUAGAACACCUAUUGCGAAGGCAGCUUACUACGCAUAUAUUGACGCUGAGGCACGAAAGCGUGGGGAUCAAACAGGAUUAGAAACCCGAGUAGUCC
This 445-nucleotide ribosomal RNA is filed under the name uncultured bacterium. Its description in RNAcentral is "partial 16S ribosomal RNA". It matches the Rfam family "Bacterial small subunit ribosomal RNA", at positions 354 to 796 of the family's 1533-position model. The record is from RNAcentral.